GACGGAGGAUGCAAGCGUUAUCCGGAAUUAUUGGGCGUAAAGGGUGCGUAGGUGGUCAGACAAGUCCCAUGUUAAAGCAUGGUGCUUAACGCCAUAAGAGCGUGGGAAACUGUCUGACUAGAGUACAGCAGGGGCAGGAGGAAUUCCCGGUGUAGCGGUGAAAUGCGUAGAUAUCGGGAAGAACACCAGUGGCGCAAGCGUUCUGCUGGGCUGUAACUGACACUGAGGCACGAAAGCUAGGGGAGCGAAAGGG
RNAcentral lists this ribosomal RNA (253 nucleotides) under uncultured bacterium. Its description in RNAcentral is "partial 16S ribosomal RNA". It matches the Rfam family "Bacterial small subunit ribosomal RNA", at positions 524 to 776 of the family's 1533-position model. The record is from RNAcentral.